Molecule: ribosomal RNA, 301 nt
Filed under: uncultured bacterium
Lineage: Bacteria
Description: partial 16S ribosomal RNA
Rfam family: Bacterial small subunit ribosomal RNA
Source: RNAcentral
CAGUAGCCGCGGGAAUACGUAGGGCGCAAGCGUUAUCCGGAAUUAUUGGGCGUAAAGAGCUCGUAGGCGGUUUGUCGCGUCUGCCGUGAAAGUCCGGGGCUCAACCCCGGAUCUGCGGUGGGUACGGGCAGACUAGAGUGAUGUAGGGGAGACUGGAAUUCCUGGUGUAGCGGUGAAAUGCGCAGAUAUCAGGAGGAACACCGAUGGCGAAGGCAGGUCUCUGGGCACUAACUGACGCUGAGGAGCGAAAGCAUGGGGAGCGAACAGGAUUAGAUACCCCGGUAGUCCCUGUCUCUUAUAA